UUGGGCUAUGGGGGGGAGCGAGUGCAAAGGAAAACCGCAUUAGGCUGCGGCAAACGCACAACACGUCAUUGCACAUAAAAUCAUAUUCGACAUUGGGUGUUUUUUUUUUUUUUUUUUUUUCCUGCUCAUGUCACAAUACUUGAGUGGAACCUGCGAGAUAGAACGCAUUUGGAGCAACAAAAAAAAAUAAAAAAAUAAAAAAUUGGAAAGGAAAAGACAAUAUCUUGUCUGCUGGUUAAAUCCAUCCAUCCAUUUACUGAGCCGCUUCUCCUCACUAGGGUCGCGGGCGUGCUGGAGCCUAUCCCAGCCAUCGACGGGCAGGAGGUGGGGUACACCCUGAACUGGUUGCCAGCCAAUCGCAGGACACAUACAAACAAACAACCAUUCGCACUCUCAUUCACACCUACGGGCAAUUUAAAGCUGUCAAUUAACCUACCAUGCAUGUUUUUGGGAUGUGGGAGGAAACCGGAGUGCCCGGAGAAAACCCACGCAGGCACGGGGAGAACAUGCAAACUCCACACAGGCGGGACCAGGGAUUGAACUCCGCUCCUCAGAACUGUGAGGCAGACGCUCUAGCUGGUUAAAUCUGUUUUGUAAAUAUGAUUGUGUUUACCUCAGAACAAACACAGAAAUGUACACAAACGGGCAUUAAAUGUUAUGAGCCACCAAAUAAGGCUGAAACUCUCAUUGCAUAGAUUAACCAUGGUGUGUAAGACAAUGCAAAAGAUGGGAAUUAAUUUCUCUGCUUGCCGAAGACACUGGCUCCCAGCCAGGAAGCCCCAUCUCUCCCCAUGAUGUGCGGGAGGCGCACCGAAACGAUCUAGCCCCGGCCGAACCUUUAGCCUGCCUAAAUCUUGUUCUGCCCCACUUGAGUGCACCUCGCUGAUUACCAAGUAGAAAUUGGGUUAUGCUAACGGUCACAGAAAUUCCAAGCUCUAGCAUCGCUCCCCGCACAUCCUCAUUCCACCCUUACGGCACGAGUUCAGCCUUCUUUACGAAUGUUUAUCUGUACCCUUUUGUAGUAAAGUCCCUCUGCACUAUUUAUCCUGUAGCUUUCCCUUGUAGAUUUAAUUAAACUUUCUCUAAAACUCCA
Phyllopteryx taeniolatus (common seadragon) is the source of this 1093-nucleotide long non-coding RNA. RefSeq lists it as uncharacterized. The transcript is spliced from 2 exons. The record is from RefSeq and is a predicted model, not a curated record. NCBI's taxonomy places the organism in Eukaryota, Metazoa, Chordata, Actinopteri, Syngnathiformes, Syngnathidae.